GUGAGAAAAAUGAGGACACAAAAAAGUUGCUAAGUGCUGAUAAGAAGUUAAAACAUUCUGUUGUAGUAGACGUUGGGUGUUCAACAUUCAAAUUCGGUUUAGGUGGUAAAUCGUCAAGUGAAGAGAAGUCAAAAGAUGCGUCAAAAGAGAAGGCGUUAAACCGUACUCAAAGCCGUGCAGGAAAAAUUGUUUCAGCUGCCGCAGAAAAGUCCUGUAUAGGGCCUACUCCGACGAAAGAGGACUAAGAUACAAAUGCUUAAACAUGUUUCCGCAGUCUAUGCGUGUGCAAAUAGUGGAUCCAAUGACAACAAUCCAAUUUGCAGAAAUAUACAGUUAUAAAUACAGCUUCAAAAUAAAUAUAAAUACAAAAAAUUAAAUUGUGAACCCAAACUAUUACUAAACCAAAAACAUGUAUUUCACGAAUUCAUAAUAAACUUCUACUA
Adelges cooleyi (spruce gall adelgid) is the source of this 443-nucleotide long non-coding RNA. RefSeq lists it as uncharacterized. The record is from RefSeq and is a predicted model, not a curated record. The transcript has 7 exons. NCBI's taxonomy places the organism in Eukaryota, Metazoa, Arthropoda, Insecta, Hemiptera, Adelgidae.